This 2789-nucleotide ribosomal RNA is filed under the name Escherichia coli. RNAcentral describes it as "23S ribosomal RNA". It matches the Rfam family "Bacterial large subunit ribosomal RNA". The record is from RNAcentral. Lineage: Bacteria; Pseudomonadati; Pseudomonadota; Gammaproteobacteria; Enterobacterales; Enterobacteriaceae.
UUAAGCGACUAAGCGUACACGGUGGAUGCCCUGGCAGUCAGAGGCGAUGAAGGACGUGCUAAUCUGCGAUAAGCGUCGGUAAGGUGAUAUGAACCGUUAUAACCGGCGAUUUCCGAAUGGGGAAACCCAGUGUGUUUCGACACACUAUCAUUAACUGAAUCCAUAGGUUAAUGAGGCGAACCGGGGGAACUGAAACAUCUAAGUACCCCGAGGAAAAGAAAUCAACCGAGAUUCCCCCAGUAGCGGCGAGCGAACGGGGAGCAGCCCAGAGCCUGAAUCAGUGUGUGUGUUAGUGGAAGCGUCUGGAAAGGCGCGCGAUACAGGGUGACAGCCCCGUACACAAAAAUGCACAUGCUGUGAGCUCGAUGAGUAGGGCGGGACACGUGGUAUCCUGUCUGAAUAUGGGGGGACCAUCCUCCAAGGCUAAAUACUCCUGACUGACCGAUAGUGAACCAGUACCGUGAGGGAAAGGCGAAAAGAACCCCGGCGAGGGGAGUGAAAAAGAACCUGAAACCGUGUACGUACAAGCAGUGGGAGCACGCUUAGGCGUGUGACUGCGUACCUUUUGUAUAAUGGGUCAGCGACUUAUAUUCUGUAGCAAGGUUAACCGAAUAGGGGAGCCGAAGGGAAACCGAGUCUUAACUGGGCGUUAAGUUGCAGGGUAUAGACCCGAAACCCGGUGAUCUAGCCAUGGGCAGGUUGAAGGUUGGGUAACACUAACUGGAGGACCGAACCGACUAAUGUUGAAAAAUUAGCGGAUGACUUGUGGCUGGGGGUGAAAGGCCAAUCAAACCGGGAGAUAGCUGGUUCUCCCCGAAAGCUAUUUAGGUAGCGCCUCGUGAAUUCAUCUCCGGGGGUAGAGCACUGUUUCGGCAAGGGGGUCAUCCCGACUUACCAACCCGAUGCAAACUACGAAUACCGGAGAAUGUUAUCACGGGAGACACACGGCGGGUGCUAACGUCCGUCGUGAAGAGGGAAACAACCCAGACCGCCAGCUAAGGUCCCAAAGUCAUGGUUAAGUGGGAAACGAUGUGGGAAGGCCCAGACAGCCAGGAUGUUGGCUUAGAAGCAGCCAUCAUUUAAAGAAAGCGUAAUAGCUCACUGGUCGAGUCGGCCUGCGCGGAAGAUGUAACGGGGCUAAACCAUGCACCGAAGCUGCGGCAGCGACGCUUAUGCGUUGUUGGGUAGGGGAGCGUUCUGUAAGCCUGCGAAGGUGUGCUGUGAGGCAUGCUGGAGGUAUCAGAAGUGCGAAUGCUGACAUAAGUAACGAUAAAGCGGGUGAAAAGCCCGCUCGCCGGAAGACCAAGGGUUCCUGUCCAACGUUAAUCGGGGCAGGGUGAGUCGACCCCUAAGGCGAGGCCGAAAGGCGUAGUCGAUGGGAAACAGGUUAAUAUUCCUGUACUUGGUGUUACUGCGAAGGGGGGACGGAGAAGGCUAUGUUGGCCGGGCGACGGUUGUCCCGGUUUAAGCGUGUAGGCUGGUUUUCCAGGCAAAUCCGGAAAAUCAAGGCUGAGGCGUGAUGACGAGGCACUACGGUGCUGAAGCAACAAAUGCCCUGCUUCCAGGAAAAGCCUCUAAGCAUCAGGUAACAUCAAAUCGUACCCCAAACCGACACAGGUGGUCAGGUAGAGAAUACCAAGGCGCUUGAGAGAACUCGGGUGAAGGAACUAGGCAAAAUGGUGCCGUAACUUCGGGAGAAGGCACGCUGAUAUGUAGGUGAAGUCCCUCGCGGAUGGAGCUGAAAUCAGUCGAAGAUACCAGCUGGCUGCAACUGUUUAUUAAAAACACAGCACUGUGCAAACACGAAAGUGGACGUAUACGGUGUGACGCCUGCCCGGUGCCGGAAGGUUAAUUGAUGGGGUCAGCGCAAGCGAAGCUCUUGAUCGAAGCCCCGGUAAACGGCGGCCGUAACUAUAACGGUCCUAAGGUAGCGAAAUUCCUUGUCGGGUAAGUUCCGACCUGCACGAAUGGCGUAAUGAUGGCCAGGCUGUCUCCACCCGAGACUCAGUGAAAUUGAACUCGCUGUGAAGAUGCAGUGUACCCGCGGCAAGACGGAAAGACCCCGUGAACCUUUACUAUAGCUUGACACUGAACAUUGAGCCUUGAUGUGUAGGAUAGGUGGGAGGCUUUGAAGUGUGGACGCCAGUCUGCAUGGAGCCGACCUUGAAAUACCACCCUUUAAUGUUUGAUGUUCUAACGUUGACCCGUAAUCCGGGUUGCGGACAGUGUCUGGUGGGUAGUUUGACUGGGGCGGUCUCCUCCUAAAGAGUAACGGAGGAGCACGAAGGUUGGCUAAUCCUGGUCGGACAUCAGGAGGUUAGUGCAAUGGCAUAAGCCAGCUUGACUGCGAGCGUGACGGCGCGAGCAGGUGCGAAAGCAGGUCAUAGUGAUCCGGUGGUUCUGAAUGGAAGGGCCAUCGCUCAACGGAUAAAAGGUACUCCGGGGAUAACAGGCUGAUACCGCCCAAGAGUUCAUAUCGACGGCGGUGUUUGGCACCUCGAUGUCGGCUCAUCACAUCCUGGGGCUGAAGUAGGUCCCAAGGGUAUGGCUGUUCGCCAUUUAAAGUGGUACGCGAGCUGGGUUUAGAACGUCGUGAGACAGUUCGGUCCCUAUCUGCCGUGGGCGCUGGAGAACUGAGGGGGGCUGCUCCUAGUACGAGAGGACCGGAGUGGACGCAUCACUGGUGUUCGGGUUGUCAUGCCAAUGGCACUGCCCGGUAGCUAAAUGCGGAAGAGAUAAGUGCUGAAAGCAUCUAAGCACGAAACUUGCCCCGAGAUGAGUUCUCCCUG